GACAUUGUCCUGAUACACAUCUAUUUUGUUUUGCUCAGUUUUUCUGCAGCACAUUAAUCAGAGGCUGAAACACAGAAACAGAUUGAUGGCCAUAACCUCGACUUCAACAGCAUAUGGGAUGUGUUUGGACAGAAGCAGAGCUCUGGGACGUGUGGACAGACUUUGACUGUAAUGAUAGACGUCUGCUCAAGGACAGAAGCAUAACCACUGCUGGACAUCGCUCUGGGACUCAGGGGGGGACCCGAAUCAUCCUCACCCCUUCAUUCACACAACACUCACUCAUAUCGCAGAGAUCUGGCUGGGAUUGAACCAGCAACCUCUGAACUGUGAGGCAGCGCGCUCACCUGUGAGCCACAGAUCUCUUGCUUGAGCUUGUGCUGGAACUUAUAUUUCACUAUUCACCUGUAUGUGAUUUUACAAUAAACCAGUUAAAGCAUUCAGUUGGGUGAUUGUUGUCUGAUGUGGGA
RNAcentral lists this long non-coding RNA (467 nucleotides) under Sinocyclocheilus anshuiensis. Its description in RNAcentral is "lncRNA (ENSSANG00000043182.1)". Lineage: Eukaryota; Metazoa; Chordata; Actinopteri; Cypriniformes; Cyprinidae. The record is from RNAcentral.